RNAcentral lists this unclassified non-coding RNA (379 nucleotides) under soil metagenome. RNAcentral describes it as "partial contains 5.8S ribosomal RNA, internal transcribed spacer 2, and large subunit ribosomal RNA". The stretch from base 1 to 120 matches the Rfam family "5.8S ribosomal RNA", at positions 35 to 154 of the family's 154-position model. The record is from RNAcentral.
GAUGAAGAACGUAGCGAAAUGCCAUACGUAAUGUGAAUUGCAGAAUUCAGUGAAUCAUCGAAUCUUUGAACGCACAUUGCACUCCUUGGUAUUCCGAGGAGUAUGCCUGUUUCAGUAUCAUGAGCACUCUCACAUCUAACCUUUGGGUUAAAAUGUGGAAUUGGGAUGCGCCGGUUAUUAUAACGGCCCUCCUAAAACUCAGUUCUUGGCUGCUUCCUACUACAGCAGUUUGGCCUAAUAGUUUUGAGUCUUCGAUUCAAAUCUUUGGCUAACAUUUGCUUCAGGAUGUCAGUCUUGAUAUACAGAAAUCUCAUUCAAACUUUGAUCUGAAAUCAGGUAGGGCUACCCGCUGAACUUAAGCAUAUCAAUAAGCGGAGGA